Molecule: ribosomal RNA, 377 nt
Filed under: uncultured eukaryote
Lineage: Eukaryota
Description: partial 18S ribosomal RNA
Rfam family: Eukaryotic small subunit ribosomal RNA
Source: RNAcentral
CAAUAGCGUAUAUUUAAGUUGUUGCAGUUAAAAAGCUCGUAGUUGGAUUUCGGGUGGGACGCAGCGGUCUCGCACUGCGUUUGUACUGCUGCAGCCCUCCUUCUUGCCGGGGGCGGCCUCUCGGACUUCACUGUCUGGGGGUCAGAAUCGGCGAUGUUACUUUGAGUAAAUUAGAGUGUUCAAAGCAAGCUUACGCUCUGAAUAUAAUAGCAUGGGAUAACACGACAGGACUCUGGCCUAUCGUGUUGGUCUAUAGGACCAGAGUAAUGAUUAAGAGGGACAGUCGGGGGCAUUCGUAUUCCGUUGUCAGAGGUGAAAUUCUUGGAUUUACGGAAGACGAACAUCUGCGAAAGCAUUUGCCAAGGAUGUUUUCAUUG